UCCCUGCUGGCUCAGAUGGUAAAGAAUCUGCCUACAAUGCAGGAGACCCAGGUUCGAUCCCUGGGUUGAGAA
This 72-nucleotide transfer RNA is filed under the name Capra hircus (goat). It matches the Rfam family "tRNA". From Rfam's summary of the family: Transfer RNA (tRNA) molecules are approximately 80 nucleotides in length. Their secondary structure includes four short double-helical elements and three loops (D, anti-codon, and T loops). RNAcentral also lists the same sequence under 1 other name. The record is from Rfam by way of RNAcentral. Lineage: Eukaryota; Metazoa; Chordata; Mammalia; Artiodactyla; Bovidae.